GCAGUGAGGAAUAUUGGUCAAUGGACGGAAGUCUGAACCAGCCAUGCCGCGUGAAGGAUGAAGGCGUUCUGCGUUGUAAACUUCUUUUAUUGGGGAAGAAACCUGGAUAUUCUUAUUCAGCCGACGGUACCCAAGGAAUAAGCACCGGCUAACUCCGUGCCAGCAGCCGCGGUAAUACGGAGGGUGCAAGCGUUAUCCGGAUUUACUGGGUUUAAAGGGUGUGUAGGCGGAUUAUUAAGUCAGUGGUGAAAUCCCGAGGCUCAACCUCGGAACUGCCAUUGAUACUAUUAGUCUUGAAUGUUGUGGAGGUGGGCGGAACGGGUCAUGUAGCGGUGAAAUGCAUAGAUAUGACCCGGAACACCGAUUGCGAAGGCAGCCCGCUACGCAACGAUUGACGCUGAGGCACGAAAGCGUGGGGAUCAAACAGGAUUAGA
Molecule: ribosomal RNA, 434 nt
Filed under: uncultured bacterium
Lineage: Bacteria
Description: bacterial SSU rRNA
Rfam family: Bacterial small subunit ribosomal RNA
Source: RNAcentral